This 5268-nucleotide long non-coding RNA is filed under the name Olea europaea (common olive). RNAcentral's name for it is "long non-coding RNA (OEUR_LNC001476)". The record is from RNAcentral. Lineage: Eukaryota; Viridiplantae; Streptophyta; Magnoliopsida; Lamiales; Oleaceae.
AAUUUUCCUACUUGUAAUCAAACGCACCCUUAGUGAAAUAGGGGGCUGUAACUAUACUCCUUUUUGUUGGCUCAAAUGUUCCCCCAUUAGGCUUCAAUAAUGUAGCAUUUUAGUACUUCAAAUUUUGAAAAUUAACUAUACUCUUUUUCACUUAGGUUUUUUUUUUUUUUUUUUUUUUUUUUGAGUAGCUUAUUUUAGAACUUGACAAAUAGAAGGUAAAAUUCGAGAAAAAGUUAAGUUUCAACUAAAAAGAAAAGUAAAUGUAGAUAUAAUUAUAUAAUAUUAAUAUUUAGCUAAUUGGAAACAAUCAUGCUACACGGUCAGAGUUAAUAAUAAAUUUUUUUUUUCCAGACAACACUUGUCAAGUUUUCAUUGGACAUUAGAAUAAGGAUACAAAAACACUCAAUCACAUUCUUUCAAAUCAUCCCUUUUUUUCCUGUUUUUAAUCCCUAAUUGAGUAGCUUGUUUCAAUCGGAAAUUCAUGGCUACUCCUUUUUGACUUGUAUUUUUCAAAAGUCUAGUGGUACGGUGGUAGAAUAGUUUGACCAAAGUGUAACGUGUUAACUAAAAAAUAACGUGACAAAAAUGAAUAAAAAAUGUGACGUGAAUUAAGUAGAAUCUUUGUUUGAUCAAUUACGCCCCUGUUUGGCCUCCAUUACGGGGAAAAUUUAAUGUAUAGAAUAGUAUUUUUUGAAAAAUGAGUGGUUGAAAAAGAAAGAAAAAUUUUCGAUUUACGUGUAAUAUUAUUUUAUGGAAGAUUGUGUGGUUGAAAAUAGGAGAGAGAAAAAUAGAAUGUAAUGUAAUGUAAUGUAAUGAAAAUCAAAUUUUAUUAGAUUAAUUUUAAGCCAUAAACAAGAUGGAUUCAAAUGUGAAAUACGUUUACAUUAAUUUCCAUUUUCACUUAGAGAUUGUAAUUUUUUAAAUAGAGCAUCGCUCUUAGGUAUUGUGCCGACAUCCUAGUUUUCUUUGUUGUUUUAUCGUUAGAAGCUUAAUAUUGAAGAAAAUCCAUUGAGGAAAACUUACGAAGAAAUAAUUGGCUAAAUAAAAUGAUGCAACUUUAACGAAAUUGAACUUACACGAGAAACUUGAAGUUCUCGGACCUAGAAUCCAGAUCGUCUAAAGGUGUAUACUUAUGCGAAAAAGAAAAUUAGCAAAAGAAAGUCAUGACUCUUAACAUAAAUUUUAUAAAGACUUAUAUAAAUAGACAAAUUAUCUCAUGCUAGAUGUUAUCAAAAAUUUAUAUCUUAUUACCUUGACAAUACAUGAAAGCUGAUGUGCAUAGCUAUGGUCAAAUCAUCUGGCUUGAUUAUUAAUACAUUACUAAAUGAUUUAAAAUGUCUGAAAUAUAUAAUUCAAGUAAUAUUAUCGUGGUAGAAGUAGUUAUGCGAUUUACUCUUUUUUCUUGAUCAAGGUUUUGUCUCAUUAAAUUUUUCUGAUAAUAUUUUAAUGAGGCUACUUUUUAAUGAAUUUUUUUCCACGAAAGAUUUUAAUGAAGCAUAUUAUUUGUUUAAUAAAUACCCAUGACCUACUAGAUAUUUACUAUCCAUAUAUAUAACUUUGCCUCUGUUUAUCACCCAUUAUUUGAAAAAAUAAAGUUUUUGAAUAAUAUAUGUUACUGAAUGUGUGGUUAAAAAAUAAAGAAAUUUUAUUAGUUUGCAUAUAAAAUAUUUUAUUGUGUAAAUGUGUGGUAGAGAAUAAUAUUGUAGUAAACAAUUUAAAACUUUAAAUGCCGUCAAACAGACCCUUUAUGAUUUUACUCUCAUAUGUUAUAACUUGUAUACAAGACUUUCGAAGAUAGCAACAAAAUUUCUUUUUAACUAUUGUAUUCGCUAAAGUCAAACAUGAUUAUGUGAAUAUAUUAUAUGAGAACAAUGCAGUUAUGUUGCACGACUCAAAUGAGAUUAUAUUAGAGAUGAUAAGACAAAGCAUAUUUUUUCAAAAUUUUUUCAUACACGUGAGUUUCAAAAGACUGGAAAUAUCGAUGUCCAAAAUUUCGUCCAAGCAACAAUGAGGCUAACUUUUUCAUAAAAGUAUUGACGACAUUUUUAUUCAAAAAAUUGGGGCACGAGAUAUGAAUUCAUUGACUCAAAAGAUUUCUAAUGGUCAGCAUUAUGAAAAGUAAAUGCACCAUUUUUCCUUCUCUGGUUUUAUCUCAUUGGAUUUUUAUUUUUUUGCAAUAUUUAAUGAGAUAACAUUUAUUUUUAAUCCUCCAAAAAUAAAUGUGCUAUUUUUUUUUUCUUUCGUUUGAUGUUUUUCCUACUAGAUUUAUUUCAAACAAGGUUUAAACAAAAUGGAUAUUGGGUAAUGAGUCAUUAAUGAGAAAUGUUGUAAAUUAUAUACUAAUUCGUGAAUGGUUAUUCUAUUUCUAUCCAUGCAACUCUUGUUACUAUGACUAUUGUAUCUCCUUCGGUCCUAAUUAUUUUCCGUAAUAUAGAAUUUUGGUCCACAAUAAAUUCACAUAAAUCUAUUAUCUUCUCUAUUUUCUUUCUAAUUUAUAAUAAUUUUUCGAUUUAUAAGGAAGAUUAGCUUUUUUUUCUCCCAUUCUUGCAAAACACUUUUUUUUUUACACACUCAUUUUCUACUACAUGUUCACAUAAUAUAAUAUUUUAUACGUAAAUUCAAAAUCUUUUCCUACUUUUUAGCCACACAUUAUCCAAAAAUUCACUAUUCAGAACAAUAUUUUUUUUUCCAAAAAAAAUGGCCGCCAGCCAACAAGGGCUUAUUAAUUUUUGAACUUUUACGAAAAAUUGGUUCCUACUGUACUAUUUAUAUCUAUAUGUGUUAGGACAUGCAAUAUGUGACGAAUUAGUGUUCAACCAAGCCAUCAAAACGAGGUUCGUUAUUUAUAUUUUUGCCAGUAGUACUUAUCAAAGAGAGUAUAUUAUUUUAGAGCUCAACAAAUACAAAGUAAAGUUAGAGAAAAAGUAAGUUUUCACUAAAAAAAGGUAAAUAUUGAAGUAAAAUAUCGAUCCAAUUAUUGUGGGGAUUAAAAUUAUUUUUAGUAAAUUUUGAUAAAAGUUAAUGAAAUAUGUGGUUGAAAAGUUAUAGGUUCCAUAAAAUUAUGUAUGGUUCAAAACAAUUGUUGACUUAAAUUUUAAUUCAAAAUUUAAUUUCAAUUUCCAUCAAACAAGGGUUAUGUAAUAUUAGUUUUUCGAUUAUGCUAAUGUGGUGGAAUAUGUUUGAUUUAGAAAUUUUUCAAAAAAAAUAAUAAUAAUAAAUAAAUAAAUAAGUGUGUGUGUGUGUAAAUUUUACACUAUUUUUAACACAUCACGUGUAUAUAAAUUAUUAUGUAACUCUAUUAUAUACAAGUAACAUUAUUUUUUAAUUUUUAGCUAAUCGAAAUUUUAUGACUAUUCCUUUUGGACUUGUAUUUCUCAAGACGCUCGUGGUACGAUAGUGUUGUAAUUUGAUUCAAAUUCUAGUGGGUAUAGGAGUUGUAUUUGAAGUGGUCUUAGAGAAAUCAAACUUAUGGAUCGAAAAAAUUAUCAUCGCAUUUUCGCUAGUCUGUUGCUCGAGUGACAUCAACGGAUUCUCAACAGAAAGCUCUUGCUCACUCGUCGCCUGACUGCAACUCGAGAGACGAUGUUUCCUGAAUAUUCGCAUUUUAACGCGUUUUGGACUCUUAUUUAUGUACAAGUUGUAACUUUAUUAUGUACAAGUAACAUUAUUUUUUAAUUUUUAGCUAAUCGAAAUUUUAUGACUAUUCCUUUUGGACUUGUAUUUCUCAAGAGUCUCGUGGUACGAUAGUGUUGUAAUUUGAUCCAAAUUCUAGUGGGUAUAGGAGUUGUAUUUGAAGUCGUCUUAGAGAAAUCAAACUUAUGGAUUGAAAAAAUUAUCACCUCAUGUUCUCUAGUCUGUUGCUUGAGUGACACCAACGGAUUCUCAACGGAAAGCUCUUGCUCACUCGUCGCCUGACUGCAACUCGAGAGACAAUGUUUCCCGAGUAUUCGCAUUUUAACGCGUUUUGAACUCUUAUUUAUCUACAACCUGAUUUCUAGGGUUUUAUAUAUAUAAAUCACGACUUGUAUUGAUUAAAUAACAUUCAUAUAACAUUUUGAGAACUUUAAUUUUUAGUUGAAAGUAUUGAGAUCUUGUUGUAAACACAAUUUCUAUUGAUUAUAGUGAAUUUUUUAUCAUCUACCCGUGGAUUUUUUCCUUCUUGGAUUACCAUAUAAAUUUUGAUGUUCUUAUUUAUUUCAUUAUUGUCAUAAUCUUUCGAUCAAUUGCAAUACAGAUAGUAGAAACGUAUGACGUGUGUAAACUCGUAAAUAGCGUGAGAAAACGAAGUUCAAGUAUUGCGUGAAUAAAGUAGAUUCUUCUUUGAUCAGUUACUACUUUAACGUAAAAUCAAAUUUUAAUUAGAUUCAUUCAUUCCUUCUUGAAUUCCCAUAUAAAUUUUGAUGUUCUUAUUUAUUUCAUUAUUGUCAUAAUCUUCCGAUCAAUUGCAAUACAGAUAGUAGAAACGUAUGACGUGUGUAAACUCGUAAAUAGCGUGAGAAAACAAAUUUCAAGUAUUGCGUGAAUAAAGUAGAUUCUUCUUUGAUCAGUUACUACUUUAACGUAAAAUCAAAUUUUAAUUAGAUUCAUUCAAGUCAUAAAGAUGUCGGAUUCACAUAUAAAACGUCGAUUUAGUUUCGAUCGAACCUUCACCUUUGUCGAAUCAAAAUUUGCUGAAAGCUCUUUUAACGUAGACGGUCAAUAUAUCUCCUCAAUGGGCCCCCACUACCCUAAUCAUCCAACGUACGAUUUAUCUGAUUUCAUUUCCACCGUCCGAUCUUAAAAUCCAAAAUAAAGUCUUGUCCUUCUCUCAAAGGUUGUAACCGUCUCUCUCUAUAAAUCAAGAAAAGCCACACACUCUCUCUCCCUCUCUCUAACAUAGUCAUACAGAUUUCUUUCUGUAUCUAUCACCUUCUCGAGAACUGAACACACACAAAAAAUGUGUGGACUCCAACGUACGAUUUAUCUGAUUUCAUUUCCACCGUCCGAUCUUAAAAUCCAAAAUAAAGUCUUGUCCUUCUCUCAAAGGUUGUAACCGUCUCUCUCUAUAAAUGAAGAAAAGCCACACACACUCUUCCCUCUCUCUAACAUAGUCAUACAGAUUUCUUUCUGUAUCUAUCACCUUCUCGAGAACUGAACACACACAAAAAAUGUGUGGAGGUGCAAUUAUUUCCGAUGAACCCAUCAUCAACAAGAGAGGAAAAUUAACCACAGAAGAAUUAUGGGCCGAAUUUGAUACAAUUUCUGAGUUCUGGGGCUUCAAUUCCUCUA